UUUCCGUAGGUGAACCUGCGGAAGGAUCAUUGUCGUGACCCUGACCAAAACAGACCGCGCACGCGUCAUCCAAUCCGUCGAUGAUGGGCAUCGUCCAUCGCUCGGCCAUCCUCGAUCACGUCCACUCCUAGGAGUGGGGGGGGGAGGGGGCUCGAGGUAAAAGACCCCACGGCGCCGAAGGCGUCAAGGAACACUGUGUCUAACCCGAGGGCAUGGCUAGCUUGCUGGUCAUCCCUCGUGUUGCAAUUAUAUUUAAUCCACACGACUCUCGGCAACGGAUAUCUCGGCUCUC
Molecule: unclassified non-coding RNA, 292 nt
Filed under: root metagenome
Description: partial contains small subunit ribosomal RNA, internal transcribed spacer 1, and 5.8S ribosomal RNA
Source: RNAcentral